GUCUACGGCCAUACCACCGUGAGCGCUCCUGAUCUCGGAAGCUAAGCAGGGUCAGGCCUGGUUAGUACUUGGAUGGGAAUCUCCCCUCCCGCCCCGUGUUAAAAUUUAUUCCUGAGUAUCCUGUGUACUUUAUCCU
Molecule: ribosomal RNA, 136 nt
Filed under: Fukomys damarensis (Damara mole-rat)
Lineage: Eukaryota; Metazoa; Chordata; Mammalia; Rodentia; Bathyergidae
Source: RNAcentral